CCUUGAUGAGUAAUUAUACUCAACAUGCCACGACAAGGAGAUUUAAAUG
Molecule: non-coding RNA, 49 nt
Filed under: unclassified sequences
Source: RNAcentral